ACGGCUCAGUAACACGUGAUCAACUUACCCUAUAGAGAAAAAUAACCUCGGGAAACUGAGGAUAAUGUUUCAUAAUUGAAUUGGCUUGGAAAAGUUUUUCAAUGAAAAGGAUAAAAAUAAUGGUUUUUAUCUGCUAUAGGAUAGGAUCGUGUUCGAUUAUGGUUGUUGGUGAGAUAAUGGCUCACCAAGCCGAUAAUCGAUAGGGGCCGUGAGAGCGGGAGCCCCGAGAUGGGUACUGAGACAACGACCCAGGCCUUACGAGGCGCAGCAGGCGCGGAACCUCCGCAAUACACGAAAGUGUGACGGGGUUACCCAAAGUGUUCAAUAGAACUGUGGUAGGUGAGUAAUGUCCCCUACUAGAAAGGAGAGGGCAAGGCUGGUGCCAGCCGCCGCGGUAAAACCAGCUCUUCAAGAGGUCGGGAUAAUUAUUGGGCUUAAAGUGUCCGUAGCCGGUUUAGUAAGUUCCUGGUAAAAUCGGGUAGCUUAACUAUCUGCAUGCUAGGAAUACUGCUAUACUAGAGGGCGGGAGAGGUCUGAGGUACUACAGGGGUAGGGGUGAAAUCUUAUAAUCCUUGUAGGACCACCAGUGGCGAAGGCGUCAGACUGGAACGCGCCUGACGGUGAGGGACGAAAGCCAGGGGAGCGAACCGGAUUAGAUACCCGGGUAGUCCUGGCCGUAAACGAUGCAUACUAGGUGAUGGUACGGCCAUGAGCCGUAUCAGUGCCGUAGGGAAACCGCUAAGUGUGCCGCCUGGGAAGUACGGUCGCAAGGCUAAAACUUAAAGGAAUUGGCGGGGGAGCACCACAAGGGGUGAAGCCUGCGGUUCAAUUGGAUUCAACGCCGG
This 845-nucleotide ribosomal RNA is filed under the name uncultured archaeon. RNAcentral's name for it is "bacterial SSU rRNA". It matches the Rfam family "Archaeal small subunit ribosomal RNA", at positions 85 to 921 of the family's 1478-position model. The record is from RNAcentral.